UAGAUACUCCCUCCGUCCGAAAAUACUUGUCAUCAAAAUGAACAAAAAAAUGAUGUAUCUAAAACUAAAAUACAUCUAGAUACAUCCCCUUUUAUUCAUUUUGAUACAAGUAUUUCCGGACGGAGGGAGUACAUU
Non-coding RNA from Triticum aestivum (bread wheat), 135 nucleotides. NCBI's taxonomy places the organism in Eukaryota, Viridiplantae, Streptophyta, Magnoliopsida, Poales, Poaceae. The record is from Rfam.